Molecule: ribosomal RNA, 880 nt
Filed under: Hypotrachyna microblasta
Lineage: Eukaryota; Fungi; Ascomycota; Lecanoromycetes; Lecanorales; Parmeliaceae
Description: eukaryotic LSU rRNA
Rfam family: Eukaryotic large subunit ribosomal RNA
Source: RNAcentral
GGGAUUGCCUCAGUAACGGCGAGUGAAGCGGCAACAGCUCAAAUUUGAAAUCUGGCCCCUUCGGGGUCCGAGUUGUAAUUUGUAGAGAGUGUUUCGGGUGAGACCACGGUCUAAGUCUGUUGGAACAUUACGUCAUAGAGGGUGAGAACCCCGUAUGCGACCGUGGCUCGAGCCCAUGUGAAGCCUCUUCGACGAGUCGAGUUGUUUGGGAAUGCAGCUCAUAAUGGGUGGUAAAUUUCAUCUAAAGCUAAAUACUGGCUGGAGACCGAUAGCGCACAAGUAGAGUGAUCGAAAGAUGAAAAGCACUUUGGAAAGAGAGUCAAACAGUACGUGAAAUUGUUGAAAGGGAAGCGCUGGCAACCAGACCUGUCCGUGGGCGAUCAGCCGCUGUUCUCAGCGGUGCACUCGUUCCACGAUCAGGCCAGCAUCGGUUUCGGCGGCCGGAUAAAGGCCUGGGGAACGUAGCUCCCUCUCGGGGGAGUGUUAUAGCCCCGGGCGUAAUGCGGCCAGUCGGGACCGAGGACCGCGCUUCGGCUAGGAUGCUGGCGUAAUGGUUGUCAGCGACCCGUCUUGAAACACGGACCAAGGAGUCUAACAUCUAUGCGAGUGUUUGGGUGUCAAACCCAUGCGCGGAAUGAAAGUGAACGGAGGUGAGAACCCUUUAGGGCGCAUCAUCGACCGAUCCAGAUGUCUUCGGAUGGAUUUGAGUAUGAGCAUAGCUGUUGGGACCCGAAAGAUGGUGAACUAUGCCUGAAUAGGGUGAAGCCAGAGGAAACUCUGGUGGAGGCUCGCAGCGGUUCUGACGUGCAAAUCGAUCGUCAAAUUUGGGUAUAGGGGCGAAAGACUAAUCGAACCAUCUAGUAGCUGGUUCCUGCCGAAG